Long non-coding RNA from Tympanuchus pallidicinctus (lesser prairie-chicken), 516 nucleotides. RefSeq lists it as uncharacterized. The transcript has 3 exons. The record is from RefSeq and is a predicted model, not a curated record. NCBI's taxonomy places the organism in Eukaryota, Metazoa, Chordata, Aves, Galliformes, Phasianidae.
AGUUGCUCUUAGAGCAAACACUAUUCAUCAGGGAGAUACAUGGUGUGCAUAUGGGGAAGCACUCAGCUGUGUCCUAGGCAUGCCACUGAAUGAACUGGCAGCUUUAAUCCAGAACCUUCCUCACAUAAGAGGAGACAAUUAUGCAACCAUGAAGACUUUCCCUGUUGGAAGUGAAGAUCAGGAGAAAUUUGCAAGAGAUUUUACCAUCUGACUUAUAGCAAUCUCUCCAAUUUGCUGAAGUGUCUCCCUGUUCCCAAUUUGCAGUGUCUGGGGUCCUCGGGAGCACUCGGUGGGAUUUGUUGCAGUGUUUUGCAGCUGCCCUGUUUGGAUGAGGAGAGGUUUCUGCAUGUCCCCGCGUCUGCCCAUCAUACAGGAGGUCCUGACCUUUCCCAGCCCUGAUGCAGAGCUGCCUGAACUCGUGCUGCCCUGAGAAUUUCAUGCCUUUGCAUAUUUCAUUAAGGCUACUGGUGUCACAAAAAAAAGCUGAAAUAAAAUGCAGCAAAAGGAGGAAGCUGA